Larimichthys crocea (large yellow croaker) is the source of this 485-nucleotide long non-coding RNA. RefSeq lists it as uncharacterized. The record is from RefSeq and is a predicted model, not a curated record. The transcript is spliced from 3 exons. NCBI's taxonomy places the organism in Eukaryota, Metazoa, Chordata, Actinopteri, Sciaenidae.
UUUGUCUAUUCUGGGCGACAGUCUUUUAACUUUUAAACCAACGUGGAACAUGUCUGAACAUGUCAAACUCUAUAAGCCCAUAUGUUAAAAAUGUUCAAAGGAGAAAUAAAUGCUAUGUAGCUACAAGUGUUAAAAGCCGGUUACCAUGCCAACCAACAAGGUUCAGGUCAUCUGUAGCCACAGCAGAGCUGAUGUUGGGUUACAGCCGUCCUCUGGGGGACUUUCAAGCCUUCCUGGUCCCUUAAUGUUCAUAGUGGGACACUAUCACUUAAAGUGGAGACACGUUACACGGGCUGCUCUCACGGCAAGCCACCGUCCUCUCCUCUCCUCUCCUUCCCACGGAUGCUGCUGCUGCUGCCGCCGCUGAGUCUCGCACACAUCCCGGUGUAGGAGGAAGAGGAGGAGGAGAUGGGGGUUUUCCCAAAGGAUUGUCCCGCACAUCUAUUUUUAGCAGAGGCAAUUUGUUCAGACACUGUGGGAUCAGG